Molecule: non-coding RNA, 68 nt
Organism: Myotis davidii
Lineage: Eukaryota; Metazoa; Chordata; Mammalia; Chiroptera; Vespertilionidae
Source: Rfam
UGCGGUUCUCGGGUGACGCACCCCAGAAUUGGACUCCCUCCUCUCUGGUGCAUCACCCAAGAACUGCC